AGAACUUAGCAGAGAUGCUUUGGUGCCUUCGGGAACUCUGAGACAGGUGCUGCAUGGCUGUCGUCAGCUCGUGUUGUGAAAUGUUGGGUUAAGUCCCGNAACGAGCGCAACCCUUUAUCCUUUGUUGCCAGCGGUUCGGCCGGGAACUCAAAGGAGACUGCCGGUGAUAAACCGGAGGAAGGUGGGGAUGACGUCAAGUCAUCAUGGCCCUUACGGCCAGGGCUACACACGUGCUACAAUGGCGCAUACAAAGAGAAGCGACCUCGCGAGAGCAAGCGGACCUCAUAAAGUGCGUCGUAGUCCGGAUUGGAGUCUGCAACUCGACUCCAUGAAGUCGGAAUCGCUAGUAAUCGUAGAUCAGAAUGCUACGGUGAAUACGUUCCCGGGCCUUGUACACACCGCCCGUCACACCAUGGGAGUGGGUUGCAAAAGAAGUAGGUAGCUUAACCUUCGGGAGGGCGCUUACCACUUUGUGAUUCAUGACUGGGGUGAAGUCGUAACAAGGUAAGCGUAGCGAG
Molecule: ribosomal RNA, 518 nt
Filed under: uncultured bacterium
Lineage: Bacteria
Description: bacterial SSU rRNA
Rfam family: Bacterial small subunit ribosomal RNA
Source: RNAcentral